GGCUUAACACAUGCAAGUCGAGCGCUCANUUCGGUGGAGCGGCGGACGGUUAGUAACGCGUGGAAUAUACCCUUUACUACGGAAUAGCCUCGGAAACUGAGAGUAAUACCGUAUACGCCCUUCGGGGAAAGAUUUAUCGUAAAGGAUUAGCCCGCGUUAGAUUAGAUAGUUGGUGGGGUAAUGGCCUACCAAGUCUACGAUCUAUAGCAGGUUUGAGAGGAUGAUCAGUAACACUGGGACUGAGACACGGCCCAGAUUCCUACGGGAGGCAGCAGUGGGGAAUCUUAGACAAUGGGCGAAAGCCUGAUCUAGCCAUGCCGCGUGAGUGAUGAAGGUCUUAGGAUCGUAAAGCUCUUUCGCUGGGGAAGAUAAUGACUGUACCCAGUAAAGAAACCCCGGCUAACUCCGUGCCAGCAGCCGCGGUAAUACGGAGGGGGUUAGCGUUGUUCGGAAUUACUGGGCGUAAAGCGUACGUAGGCGGAUUAUUAAGUUAGAGGUGAAAUCCCAGGGCUCAACCCUGGAACCGCCCUUAAUACUGGUAGUCUUGAGUUCGAGAGAGGUGAGUGGAAUUCCAAGUGUAGAGGUGAAAUUCGUAGAUAUUUGGAGGAACACCAGUGGCGAAGGCGGCUCACUGGCUCGAUACUGACGCUGAGGUACGAAAGUGUGGGGAGCAAACAGGAUUAGAUACCCUGGUAGUCCACACCGUAAACGAUGAAUGCCAGUCGUCAGGGGGCUUGCCCUUUGGUGACACACCUAACGGAUUAAGCAUUCCGCCUGGGAGUA
RNAcentral lists this ribosomal RNA (783 nucleotides) under uncultured Alphaproteobacteria bacterium. Its description in RNAcentral is "bacterial SSU rRNA". It matches the Rfam family "Bacterial small subunit ribosomal RNA", at positions 45 to 882 of the family's 1533-position model. Lineage: Bacteria; Pseudomonadati; Pseudomonadota; Alphaproteobacteria. The record is from RNAcentral.